AGAUAAUGGACUUAUAUGAGAUAAAUAUAUUUGAAGACGACGUGAUUGAAGUGAAAAACUUUGGUAGAGAAGAAAGGUAUUGCCAUUUGCCAAGAGCUCAAUUUAAUUUUGUUGGAAGAAUGAAUCUUGAAAGUUAAUAACUUGUUCACAUUUUUACUAUUUUGAUUAGUUUUUGAAGGAGUUAAAGUACAUCAAUAUGAGUUCCUUCCGAGAACUAAAGUUAGAUCAGUUUUUAAAGGUUGUGAAAAUCUUAGCAAGGCAUAAAUUACGU
RNAcentral lists this long non-coding RNA (271 nucleotides) under Arachis ipaensis. RNAcentral describes it as "long non-coding RNA (AIPA_LNC001692)". The record is from RNAcentral. Lineage: Eukaryota; Viridiplantae; Streptophyta; Magnoliopsida; Fabales; Fabaceae.